GGUCACGAGUUCCAGCACAAAGCCCCGGCUAGCUGGACGGCAACCCUCCUCCUGCGGCGGGGUGCUCCGGGUGAAGACCAGGCUCCUCGCCACUUGGUGCGGGAGCAAGCGCGGG
RNAcentral lists this non-coding RNA (115 nucleotides) under Timonella senegalensis. Its description in RNAcentral is "S-adenosyl methionine (SAM) riboswitch". It matches the Rfam family "SAM (S-adenosyl methionine) riboswitch aptamer". Rfam says of the family: SAM-IV is a mRNA element that regulates gene expression via direct sensing of S-adenosylmethionine (SAM or AdoMet). SAM-IV riboswitches share conserved nucleotide positions with the previously described SAM-I riboswitches sequence analysis and molecular recognition experiments suggest that SAM-I and SAM-IV riboswitches share similar ligand binding sites, but have different scaffolds. The record is from RNAcentral. Lineage: Bacteria; Bacillati; Actinomycetota; Actinomycetes; Micrococcales.